GGGGAUUUAGCUCAAUGGUAGAGCGCUUGCCUAGCAAGCGCAAGGUCCUGGGUUCAGUCCCCA
Molecule: transfer RNA, 63 nt
Filed under: Rattus norvegicus (Norway rat)
Lineage: Eukaryota; Metazoa; Chordata; Mammalia; Rodentia; Muridae
Rfam family: tRNA
About the family: Transfer RNA (tRNA) molecules are approximately 80 nucleotides in length. Their secondary structure includes four short double-helical elements and three loops (D, anti-codon, and T loops). Further hydrogen bonds mediate the characteristic L-shaped molecular structure. tRNAs have two regions of fundamental functional importance: the anti-codon, which is responsible for specific mRNA codon recognition, and the 3' end, to which the tRNAs corresponding amino acid is attached (by aminoacyl-tRNA synthetases). tRNAs cope with the degeneracy of the genetic code in two manners: having more than one tRNA (with a specific anti-codon) for a particular amino acid; and 'wobble' base-pairing, i.e. permitting non-standard base-pairing at the 3rd anti-codon position.
Source: Rfam by way of RNAcentral